UGCGCAGGCGGGCUUGUGAGUCAGUGGUGAAAUACUGCCGCUUAACGGUAGAACUGCCAUUGAUACUGCAAGUCUUGAAUAUGGUUGAGGUAGGCGGAAUGUGUUGUGUAGCGGUGAAAUGCAUAGAUAUGACACAGAACGCCGAUUGCGAAGGCAGCUUACUAAGCCAUUAUUGACGCUGAGGCACGAAAGCGUGGGGAGCGAACAGGAUUAGAUACCCUGGUAGUCC
RNAcentral lists this ribosomal RNA (229 nucleotides) under uncultured bacterium. Its description in RNAcentral is "partial 16S ribosomal RNA". It matches the Rfam family "Bacterial small subunit ribosomal RNA", at positions 568 to 796 of the family's 1533-position model. The record is from RNAcentral.